Long non-coding RNA from Pipra filicauda (Wire-tailed manakin), 371 nucleotides. RefSeq lists it as uncharacterized. The record is from RefSeq and is a predicted model, not a curated record. The transcript has 3 exons. Lineage: Eukaryota; Metazoa; Chordata; Aves; Passeriformes; Pipridae.
GCUUGCUGCUUAACAACAGAAAUAAAGCACUUGUCAGGCAGAAGCAAUUGUGUCAGUGCAAAAUGGAAUUCGCAAGACUAAAGUUUACACGAGUCAUGACUGGUUGGCCAGACCACGUUAUGGAAAGCUGCUCCUGCAGAAAAGUCAAAGACCCCCAUCCCCUGGUGUACUGUGCCAGUGGCAGGAUGCUGGAGUUCUGACUGUGACAGUGACUCGAAAAGGGCCUGGCCUGUUUACUGCUACUCAGACAGGAGCCCAGCUUCUUAGGACAGUUAGGACAGCAGUACAAAUAAAGGGAAACAUCUUGUUAGCAUCUGUCAGGACGAAUGCCAUUUUGCCUCAAGAAAAUGCUGAUCCUGGCAGAGUCUGGG